GUGGGGAAUAUUGGACAAUGGGCGCAAGCCUGAUCCAGCAAUGCCGCGUGUGUGAAGAAGGUCUUCGGAUCGUAAAGCACUUUCGACGGGGACGAUGAUGACGGUACCCGUAGAAGAAGCCCCGGCUAACUUCGUGCCAGCAGCCGCGGUAAUACGAAGGGGGCUAGCGUUGCUCGGAAUUACUGGGCGUAAAGGGCGCGUAGGCGGCUCUGUGAGUCAGGCGUGAAAUUCCUGGGCUUAACCUGGGGACUGCGCUUGAUACUGCAGGGCUUGAGGCCGAGAGAGGGUGGUGGAAUUCCCAGUGUAGAGGUGAAAUUCGUAGAUAUUGGGAAGAACACCGGUGGCGAAGGCGACCACCUGGCUCGGUACUGACGCUGAGGCGCGACAGCGUGGGGAGCAAGCAGGAUUAGAAACCCUGGUAGUCC
Molecule: ribosomal RNA, 425 nt
Filed under: uncultured bacterium
Lineage: Bacteria
Description: partial 16S ribosomal RNA
Rfam family: Bacterial small subunit ribosomal RNA
Source: RNAcentral